GACGAACGCUGGCGGCGUGCUUAACACAUGCAAGUCGAACGGGAUUUAGUAAACGGAAGCCUCGGUGGAAGAUUACUAAUGAGAGUGGCGAACGGGUGAGUAACGCGUGAGCAACCUGCCUAUGACAGUGGGAUAGCCUCGGGAAACCGGGAUUAAUACCGCAUAAAAUCGUAGAAACACAUGUUUCAACGGUCAAAGAUUUAUCGGUCAUAGAUGGGCUCGCGUCUGAUUAGCUAGUUGGUGAGAUAACAGCCCACCAAGGCGACGAUCAGUAGCCGGUCUGAGAGGAUGAACGGCCACAUUGGAACUGAGACACGGUCCAAAAUCCUACGGGAGGCAGCAGUGGGGAAUAUUGCACAAUGGGGGAAACCCUGAUGCAGCGACGCCGCGUGAACGAAGAAGGUAUUCGUAUCGUAAAGUUCUGUCCUAUGGGAAGAUAAUGACAGUACCAUAGAAGAAAGCGCCGGCUAAAUACGUG
RNAcentral lists this ribosomal RNA (478 nucleotides) under uncultured bacterium. Its description in RNAcentral is "partial 16S ribosomal RNA". It matches the Rfam family "Bacterial small subunit ribosomal RNA", at positions 28 to 507 of the family's 1533-position model. The record is from RNAcentral.